RNAcentral lists this ribosomal RNA (200 nucleotides) under uncultured bacterium. Its description in RNAcentral is "partial 16S ribosomal RNA". It matches the Rfam family "Bacterial small subunit ribosomal RNA", at positions 29 to 254 of the family's 1533-position model. The record is from RNAcentral.
AACGAACGCUGGCGGCAUGCCUAACACAUGCAAGUCGAACGCCUGUAGCAAUACAGGAGUGGCGCACGGGUGAGUAACGCGUGGGAACCUGCCCUGGAGUGGGGGAUAACCCGGCGAAAGCCGGGCUAAUACCGCAUACGACCUGAGGGUGAAAGAUUCAUCGCUCUUGGAGGGGCCCGCGUCGGAUUAGCUAGUUGGUG